Molecule: transfer RNA, 97 nt
Filed under: Gammaproteobacteria bacterium
Lineage: Bacteria; Pseudomonadati; Pseudomonadota; Gammaproteobacteria
Description: tRNA-Sec
Rfam family: Selenocysteine transfer RNA
Source: RNAcentral
GGAAGGGCAUCGGCACCGGUGUGUCGCACGGUCUUCAAAACCGCUGAGGGGCUGGAAGCCAGUCCCUGGUGGGUUCGACUCCCACGCCUUUCCGCCA